UCCGCUCCGAUGCUCUAGAUUACGCGAAGACCUUACCAGGGUUUGACAUCCUGCGAAUCUCCUGGAAACGGGAGAGUGCCUUCGGGAACGCAGUGACAGGUGGUGCAUGGCUGUCGUCAGCUCGUGUCGUGAGAUGUUGGGUUAAGUCCCGCAACGAGCGCAACCCACGUCUUUAGUUGCCAGCAUUCAGUUGGGCACUCUAGAGAGACCGCCGGUGAUAAACCGGAGGAAGGUGUGGAUGACGUCAAGUCAUCAUGCCCCUUACAUCCUGGGCUACACACGUACUACAAUGCUACGGACAAAGGGCAGCAAACUCGCGAGAGCUAGCAAAUCCCAUAAACCGUGGCUCAGUUCAGAUCGUAGGCUGCAACUCGCCUACGUGAAGGAGGAAUCGCUAGUAAUCGUAGAUCAGCAACGCUACGGUGAAUACGUUCCCGGGUCUUGUA
RNAcentral lists this ribosomal RNA (446 nucleotides) under uncultured bacterium. Its description in RNAcentral is "bacterial SSU rRNA". It matches the Rfam family "Bacterial small subunit ribosomal RNA", at positions 940 to 1385 of the family's 1533-position model. The record is from RNAcentral.